AACGCGAAGAACCUUACCUAAGCUUGACAUCCUUUUGACCAUGCCAAUCGCAUCUUUCCCUUCGGGGACAGAAGUGACAGGUGGUGCAUGGUUGUCGUCAGCUCGUGUCGUGAGAUGUUGGGUUAAGUCCCGCAACGAGCGCAACCCUUGCCUUUAGUUGCCAGCAUUAAGUUGGGCACUCUAGAGGGACUGCCAGGGAUAACCUGGAGGAAGGUGGGGAUGACGUCAAAUCAUCAUGCCCCUUAUGCUUAGGGCUACACACGUGCUACAAUGGGUGGUACAGAGGGCAGCCAAGUCGUGAGGCGGAGCUAAUCCCUUAAAGCCAUUCUCAGUUCGGAUUGUAGGCUGAAACUCGCCUACAUGAAGCUGGAGUUACUAGUAAUCGCAGAUCAGAAUGCUGCGGUGAAUGCGUUCCCGGGUCUUGUACACACCG
Molecule: ribosomal RNA, 433 nt
Filed under: uncultured bacterium
Lineage: Bacteria
Description: bacterial SSU rRNA
Rfam family: Bacterial small subunit ribosomal RNA
Source: RNAcentral